RNAcentral lists this ribosomal RNA (253 nucleotides) under uncultured bacterium. RNAcentral's name for it is "partial 16S ribosomal RNA". It matches the Rfam family "Bacterial small subunit ribosomal RNA", at positions 524 to 776 of the family's 1533-position model. The record is from RNAcentral.
UACGGAGGGUGCAAGCGUUAUCCGGAUUUACUGGGUUUAAAGGGUGCGUAGGUGGGUAGGUAAGUCAGUGGUGAAAUCUUCAAGCUUAACUUGGAAACUGCCAUUGAUACUAUUUAUCUUGAAUACUUUGGAGGUAAGCGGAAUAUGUCAUGUAGCGGUGAAAUGCUUAGAUAUGACAUAGAACACCAAUUGCGAAGGCAGCUUACUACACAGUUAUUGACACUGAGGCACGAAAGCGUGGGGAGCAAACAGG